UUCAAUAUGCUUGAGAAGACUUGACACAAAAAUAGCAGUGUUACGGUACGACGCAAAGGACACUAGAGAGAAGCAUCAUGUCUGAUGGGAAACAUGAAAUUUUUCCUGGUUGUGGAACAAUUAGACCUUCUGCUGACUUCCUUUCCAGAAGAAAGAUGAAGAAAAGGAAGAAGAAGAGGAAGAGGAAGAAGGAGAAGGAGGAGAGGAAGAGGAAGAGGAAGAAAAUAA
This is a non-coding RNA of Heterocephalus glaber (naked mole-rat), 228 nucleotides long. Lineage: Eukaryota; Metazoa; Chordata; Mammalia; Rodentia; Bathyergidae. The record is from RefSeq and is a predicted model, not a curated record.